UCAAUGCAAUGUAUCAUAUUACUGAGAAAUGUUACACGAGGAUACGUAACAAGUAAAGUUAUUUCAUCAGAAUUGUUUCGAAAUCGUAAUUUCUUCUCUUCAUAUAAAAUGAAUAUUUCGGCGAUUAUUUGAUGAAGUUUUGUUCUUCGAUCGAUAUAUGAUAUAAUAAUGAUUAAGAAUCGUGUUUUCAUUGAGUCGAUUCACGAUUUUCGCAAUUCGGAAUGGAACGAGAUUCGAAGGUAUAUGAUUUUCGAGGUUCGUUGAACACGUGCACGCACGUAAUUCGAGCGUCUGACUGAGACGUGUAAUUUUCACGAUUGCAACGAGGAAACUGAUCCCUUUUUACUGCACACACUUGCUCCUCCCUGUGCUUGAUCAAGUGUAAUUACUGUGAAUAAUGCAGCGGGGUGUUAACAGUACGAAACCAGAGUUAUGAAUCUCGUUCGAUGUUGUGUAAUUUGCCGGCAAUUUGCUGAGAAUCUUCAUAUACACACUACCCGUAUGUUUUACGGAGGGAUCCCGGUCCGGGAUUGGAGAUUUUUCACAAAGGGAAUUUUCCUAAGGGAUUAUAGGCGUUUGUCCCGCUUUCGGAUCGAAACUUAUUAUUCUUCCGAUACGACGUUUUACCUACGCUCUUACGGUAUUAAGGU
This is a long non-coding RNA of Apis florea (little honeybee), 650 nucleotides long. The record is from RefSeq and is a predicted model, not a curated record. Lineage: Eukaryota; Metazoa; Arthropoda; Insecta; Hymenoptera; Apidae.